RNAcentral lists this long non-coding RNA (766 nucleotides) under Gallus gallus (chicken). The record is from RNAcentral. Lineage: Eukaryota; Metazoa; Chordata; Aves; Galliformes; Phasianidae.
UGAAACCAGACUAAGCCAGAGACUUUCCUUCAUUUGUAAAUCAGCUUCAGUUGAGCUGUGCUGAUUCACAGCAUUAUUAUUUUUGUUGUUGGUGCUUGCAUGACUGAAGAACCCACAGAUCCCAACUGAGAUAGGAAUCAGUUGUGCUAGGUGUUGUAUGAAUUAAAAUCUAGAGGAAAUAUUUCUUCCAAAGAGUUCACAAGCUAAUUAGAUGAGAGAAACCAUAUGGGAGGAAAGUACCAAAAAGGCAGAGACAUGUUUGCUCUGUCACUCAGAAGAUCAGUGCCUCAGCUGGAAAAAAACUCCAGAUAUCCAGAUGCUCAGAUCACUGCUCAAGCCACUACACUAAGCAGCACUGCCAGGAAAAAUGUUGCAAAGGGAGAAGCAGCAGUUACUGAAAGUAAGAAGCUGAAAAACUACGAAGAUCCCGUUUUGCCAAUCCACAGCCAUCAAUUAACACAUUACUAAAACACUUCCCAGAAAAAGCAGUCGCUAAUGUGUGCGUCUGUCCUUGUAUGCAUUGUCUCACCAACCUGAGAAGAUUUCCACAGCUAUGUCACUGUUUAGUCAAAGGCUUUCAAGGUCAAAUUAGCCCAUGGUCAUGUCAUGGUGAGCUCCAAAGAACUCCUUUGGUCAUUUCAUCCCUACCCAUGUGGAGGAAGGGGAAGUGAAACUGUUAACUGUUGUCAAGCAGGAUGAAAACAUCAUUCCUUUGGCUCACUAGCUGUUCUCACAUAGGAAAUCCUAAAUGUGUGGUUUUCUUAAU